Molecule: ribosomal RNA, 468 nt
Filed under: uncultured bacterium
Lineage: Bacteria
Description: partial 16S ribosomal RNA
Rfam family: Bacterial small subunit ribosomal RNA
Source: RNAcentral
GACGAACGCUGGCGGCGUGCUUAACACAUGCAAGUCGAACGGAAAGGCCCUGCUUUUGUGGGGUGCUCGAGUGGCGAACGGGUGAGUAACACGUGAGUAACCUGCCCUUGACUUUGGGAUAACUUCAGGAAACUGGGGCUAAUACCGGAUAGGAGCUCCUGCUGCAUGGUGGGGGUUGGAAAGUUUCGGCGGUUGGGGAUGGGCUCGCGGCUUAUCAGCUUGUUGGUGGGGAAGUGGCUUACCAAGGCUUUGACGGGUAGCCGGCCUGAGAGGGUGACCGGCCACAUUGGGACUGAGAUACGGCCCAGACUCCUACGGGAGGCAGCAGUGGGGAAUAUUGCACAAUGGGCGGAAGCCUGAUGCAGCAACGCCGCGUGCGGGAUGACGGCCUUCGGGUUGUAAACCGCUUUCGCCUGUGACGAAGCGUGAGUGACGGUAAUGGGUAAAGAAGCACCGGCUAACUACGUG